GAUGAAGAACGUAGUGAAAUGCGAUACGUAAUGUGAAUUGCAGAAUUCAGUGAAUCAUCGAAUCUUUGAACGCACCUUGCGCCCCUUGGCAUUCCGAGGGGCACACCCGUUUGAGUGUCGUGAACAUCCUCAACCUCCUUGGUUUUUAUCGAACCAAGUAGGAUUGGAAUUUGGAGGUUUUCUGCUGGCCUCCUCUGAAGCCAGCUCCUCUUAAAUGUAUCAGUGGGUUCCGCUUUGCUUAGAUCCUCGACGUUGAUAAGAUGUUUCUACGUCUUGGGUUUUUCUCGCAAAGGACCUGCUUCUAACCGUCCCCAUCGGGGACAACCUUUGAGCCGAUCACCCUUCACGGGGUGGGAAGCUUUUUGAGCCACGAAACCUUGACCUCAAAUCGGGUGAGACUACCCGCUGAACUUAAGCAUAUCAAUAAGCGGAGGA
This 435-nucleotide unclassified non-coding RNA is filed under the name soil metagenome. Its description in RNAcentral is "partial contains 5.8S ribosomal RNA, internal transcribed spacer 2, and large subunit ribosomal RNA". The stretch from base 1 to 120 matches the Rfam family "5.8S ribosomal RNA", at positions 35 to 154 of the family's 154-position model. The record is from RNAcentral.